RNAcentral lists this transfer RNA (73 nucleotides) under Marmota monax (woodchuck). RNAcentral describes it as "tRNA.Ala". It matches the Rfam family "tRNA". From Rfam's summary of the family: Transfer RNA (tRNA) molecules are approximately 80 nucleotides in length. Their secondary structure includes four short double-helical elements and three loops (D, anti-codon, and T loops). The record is from RNAcentral. Lineage: Eukaryota; Metazoa; Chordata; Mammalia; Rodentia; Sciuridae.
UGGGGUUGUGGCUCAGUGGUAGAGCACUCGCCUAGCAUGUGCGAGGCCCUGGGUUUGAUCCUCAGCACCACAA